CAGUAGCCGCGGGAAUACAGAGGGUGCAAGCGUUAAUCGGAAUUACUGGGCGUAAAGCGCGCGUAGGUGGUUUGUUAAGUUGGAUGUGAAAGCCCCGGGCUCAACCUGGGAACUGCAUCCAAAACUGGCAAGCUAGAGUACGGUAGAGGGUGGUGGAAUUUCCUGUGUAGCGGUGAAAUGCGUAGAUAUAGGAAGGAACACCAGUGGCGAAGGCGACCACCUGGACUGAUACUGACACUGAGGUGCGAAAGCGUGGGGAGCAAACAGGAUUAGAUACCCGUGUAGUCCCUGUCUCUUAUAC
This 301-nucleotide ribosomal RNA is filed under the name uncultured bacterium. Its description in RNAcentral is "partial 16S ribosomal RNA". It matches the Rfam family "Bacterial small subunit ribosomal RNA", at positions 509 to 807 of the family's 1533-position model. The record is from RNAcentral.